GAUCAGGAACCAUGCGAGCGGACGCUGCCGAACCCCGCCAGGUCCGGAAGGAAGCAACGGUAGGCGGAGGCCCGCGGCGCCGUGGCCCCCCUGAUCAUG
RNAcentral lists this signal recognition particle RNA (99 nucleotides) under Treponema sp. RNAcentral's name for it is "signal recognition particle sRNA small type". It matches the Rfam family "Bacterial small signal recognition particle RNA". From Rfam's summary of the family: The signal recognition particle (SRP) is a universally conserved ribonucleoprotein involved in the co-translational targeting of proteins to membranes. Archaeal SRP consists of a 7S RNA and homologues of the eukaryotic SRP19 and SRP54 proteins. Lineage: Bacteria; Pseudomonadati; Spirochaetota; Spirochaetia; Treponematales; Treponemataceae. The record is from RNAcentral.